GCGGGCGUAACUCAGCGGUAGAGUGUCACCUUGCCAAGGUGGAGGUCGACGGUUCAAAUCCGUUCGCCCGCU
Molecule: transfer RNA, 72 nt
Filed under: Syntrophales bacterium
Lineage: Bacteria; Pseudomonadati; Thermodesulfobacteriota; Syntrophia; Syntrophales
Description: tRNA-Gly
Rfam family: tRNA
About the family: Transfer RNA (tRNA) molecules are approximately 80 nucleotides in length.
Source: RNAcentral